AUUGAACGCUGUCGGCAGGCCUAAUACAUGCAAGUCGAACGAGUGGCGGACGGGUGAGUAAUGUCUGGGAAACUGCCUGAAGGAGGGGGAUAACUACUGGAAACGGUAGCUAAUACCGCAUACCAUCGGAUGUGCACAGAUGGGAUUGGCUAGUAGGUGGGGUAACGGCUCACCUAGGCGACGAUCCCUAGCUGGUCUGAGAGGUUGACCAGCCACCCUUGAGCUGAGACACGGUCCAGACGCCUACGUGAGGCAGCAGUGGGGAAUAUUGCACUAUGGUCGCGAGCCUGAUGCAGCCAUGCCGCGUGUAGUAAGAAGGCCUUCGGUUUGUAAAGUACUUUCAGCGGGGAGGCGUUACCCGCAGAAGAAGCACCGGCUAACUCCGUACCAGCAGCCGCGGUAAUUC
RNAcentral lists this ribosomal RNA (406 nucleotides) under uncultured bacterium. Its description in RNAcentral is "partial 16S ribosomal RNA". It matches the Rfam family "Bacterial small subunit ribosomal RNA", at positions 30 to 526 of the family's 1533-position model. The record is from RNAcentral.